CCUACGGGAGGCAGCAGUGAGGAAUAUUGGUCAAUAGCCGCAGGGCUGAACCAGCCAAGUCGCGUGAGGGAUGACGGUCCUAUGGAUUGUAAACCUCUUUUGUCAGGGAGCAAAGGGCGCCACGUGUGGCGCUUUGCGAGUACCUGAAGAAAAAGCAUCGGCUAACUCCGUGCCAGCAGCCGCGGUAAUACGGAGGAUGCGAGCGUUAUCCGGAUUUAUUGGGUUUAAAGGGUGCGCAGGCGGAAUGUCAAGUCAGCGGUAAAAUUUCGGGGCUCAACCCCGUCGUGCCGUUGAAACUGGCGUUCUUGAGUGAGCGAGAAGUAUGCGGAAUGCGUGGUGUAGCGGUGAAAUGCAUAGAUAUCACGCAGAACUCCAGUUGCGAAGGCAGCAUACCGGCGCUCAACUGACGCUCAUGCACGAAAGCGUGGGUAUCGAACAGGAUUAGAUACCCUUGUAGUC
RNAcentral lists this ribosomal RNA (459 nucleotides) under uncultured bacterium. RNAcentral's name for it is "partial 16S ribosomal RNA". It matches the Rfam family "Bacterial small subunit ribosomal RNA", at positions 338 to 795 of the family's 1533-position model. The record is from RNAcentral.